This 24-nucleotide non-coding RNA is filed under the name Arabidopsis thaliana (thale cress). Lineage: Eukaryota; Viridiplantae; Streptophyta; Magnoliopsida; Brassicales; Brassicaceae. The record is from RNAcentral.
AUAUUCAUCCUCAUAUCUGGAUAC